Molecule: transfer RNA, 91 nt
Filed under: Clostridiales bacterium
Lineage: Bacteria; Bacillati; Bacillota; Clostridia; Eubacteriales
Description: tRNA-Ser
Rfam family: tRNA
About the family: Transfer RNA (tRNA) molecules are approximately 80 nucleotides in length.
Source: RNAcentral
GGAAAGGUGGCCGAGUUGGUUGAAGGCGCACGACUGGAACUCGUGUAAACGGUUAAACGUUUCGAGGGUUCGAAUCCCUCUCUUUCCGCCA